GUAUUUGUGCACCUCCCACCUGGCAGCCCCUGGGGUUUAGAGGGGACCCCUGCCCUCCUGCGGCGGUGAAAUGACACCGGUAAUCUUGGGUUGGGUACAGGAGGGUGGCAGGCUGCCUCUCUGAGGAGGGGCGGUCGGGCUGAGACCAGGAGAGAGACUUGGCCCCGCACAGGCGUCACAGCAGGGAGGAGGCGCUGAGGGGGGCACGUGCCUGGCACAGCCCGUGGAGGCUGGGGUGGCUGGAGCCAAGGCAGCCAGGGACACUGGAGUCACCUGGCCUUACUGAUUGGGUUUGGGGGUGACAGGGGUACCAAGGGCCAUUUGCUGAGGCAGGAUGCACUAAAGGGGGCAGUGGGACGUCCACAGCUGCCUGCGCAGGGGUCGCGUGCCUUGACCAGGUGCUGUCGUGAUCCCGUUCUACAGCUGUGGAAUCAGAGGCCCAGAGAGGCCAGCAGCUUGCCCAGGGCCAUCCAGCCUGGAGACUGCAGAGCCGCCCCUUGAACCGAGCACACCGCCCCAGAACUGGCAGAAGGCAGCCUGCAAGGCCCGGCCACCAUGAAGCUGAACGAGCGCAGCCUGGCCUUCUACGCGACGUGCGACGCGCCGGUGGACCACGCGGGCUUCCUGCACAAGAAGGGCGGGCGGCACGCGGCCUCGCACCGCCGCUGCUCAGGGGGCGCCCAGGCGCCGCCCCAGGGGCCGAGGAGAGAAGGCGACUGCGGCGCUGCGUCGGGCUUCCCGAACCCCCCUCCAGCGCCUGCCUGUCACCUUCCUCACGCCCCAGUCGUCCCCUGGGGACACCGGAUCGCCGUCUCCAGCCUGGCGCAAGCUUCUCACUCACCACAGUGCCCGACAACUCUUCAACCAGGAUGAAUCCCAGGGAGCUGGGACAGCCCUGGGUCGUGUUUACAGUCCUCGGUGGCCCGCACUGGGGACCCCUCCACCCCACCUAGACCUGUUUCUGAGGCCUCGGGGUUUCUGUCCUCAGCUCCCUGCUGGCUCGGCGGGCUGGGGCUUGGCUGAGAAGUCUGUUUUUCAGUAUGUAGGGUGUACUUGUUCCUGGCAGCAGGGCUGGGUGUUUCCACUGCUCCUCUCCCUCCUGGGUGCUGGCUGGCAGGGAUGGUGCCCUGGCCAUCCGGGUUGGCUGUGUGGCGACGCAGCAGCCCCGACGCUCGGAGCUGCACCCGCACCCGCACCCGCACCCGCAGGGGCCGGGCUCCCCUGGUGGCGUCGUCUUCCCCCAGCCCAGCCUCCUACCCAGUGGAGGCUGCCGGGGUCUGGUAUGGUCCCCAGCCCCUCUCCCAGCCCAGUGUGGGUGGCCGUGGCAGCUCUUGUCCAGGGACUCAGGGGCAUGGGAGGCUGUAGCCAGGCGGAGCGCAGGACCGAGCUUUGAGGCGACAUGGUGACCCCAGGCUCGUGCAGGUUUACCCACUCCAAAGGUACGGAAGGCCUCAUCUCCCGGGUGGAGGUGGGAAUGCGCCCUCCUGCCAGCGCAGGACAGAGUCAUGCCGCCUCUGCUGGCAGCCAGGGAGGGGGUGCAAGGGCUGAAAUAAACAAGUUUGUGAAGCGAUGCCUGACUGUCUUAUGUCGCUGCCGUCAAAACCCCUGCUGAGCUGGGUAGGGUGGCGCACAUCUAUAAUCCCAACAGUGUGGGAGGCUGAGGCAGGAGGAUGCAAGUUGGAGCCCACCCUGGGUAACUUAGUGACUUAAACAGAUCCUGUCUCAAAAUAAAAAAAAAUUUAAAAGGCUGGGAAUGUAGCUCAUUGUGAAGGCCCUAGAUUCAAUCCCCAGUACAAAAACAAAACAAAACUCUGGACUAACUUGGUGGCAGAGCCUAAAGCGGACCCUCAAAGGGACCCUUGUGGCUGACGCUGGGCCAGACGGGGUCUUACAACCUUGUAUGCCUCUCAGGCCAGAUGCUGCCCCCAUUUUAUAGAUGGAGCUGCUGAGACUCAGAGCAGUUAUGGGCAUUUGCCCAGGCCACAGAGCUAGAGAGCAGCAGAGCAGGAGUAAACCUCUGGGGUCCUGUGGAGAGCAGGGCCUCCGGGAGCAUGGGGAGGCACGCAGAGAAGAGGAUUUGAAAAUCGAUUGUGAGCCCGGCGUGGCACACACCCGCAAGCCCAGCACUCUGGAGGCUGAGGCAGGAGGAUCGAAGCAAGUUUGAGGCCAGCCUGGGCUCCAUAGUGAGUUCAAGGCCAGCCUGAACUACACAGUGAGGCCCUGUCUCAAAAACAAAACACCUCAGCUUAGGGAAUUGUGCCGCUUAUGUGCUGAGUAAUGCUUCCCAUCUCGUGGGACCACGGUUGAGGGGUGCUGGGGAAGUGGCUCCCUGAACUGGCUGAGUCAGGGUGCUGCCUGUGACGGUGGCCACAGGGCACGGGACGCUGAGGGGGGAGAGAGCUCCAGGACGGAGGGUCACAGGUGUGCCCUCACCUGCCAGUGUUUGCCCUGAGCUCACUGGGAGGAAACCAGUCAAAACCGGUUCCAGGGAUCCACCUGCCAAUGUGCGCCCCUUACCUCCUGGCCCAGAGGAGGGGUUCAGGGGACACUGUCAUCAGAGGAAUAUUCUGAGAAGCCACUUGGGGCAGGGGCGAGACCCUCAAGAGAGACACUCAGGUCAGAGGCUACACCUCCCUGCCCAACACCCAUCCACCCUACACUAUUAGUUCAGUUCAGUCGGUGAUAUUGCUGAUGUUUGACUUAUAGGCACUGGCUAAACUUUAGCUGCCAAAGAUAAUAAGAUGUGAGUAGAAGGGUCUUCUUACUUUUAAAAAGAGACACAAUGAAGAGCUCCUUAUUUUUCCCUGGCAGGGAGUUACGGAUGCUUGGAGCUGUGGCAGCCAUCUUGUCAUGAAGUAGGCCAUGCUAAAGAAAAUGCCACACCUGAGUUUGGCUCAUACUUGAAAAUGGCCUUGAACUGCUGUGGAGUGGUUCUGAGAACCUGCAUAUGUCUUAUUUGAUGUAAUAAAUGUCCCUGUUUGAAGCUGUGUGCAGGACUUGUUACUGAGAGGCUUCCUCAGUCAGGCAUGGUGGUGUAUGCCUGUAAUCCCAGCACUCAGGAGGACAAGGUAGGAGGAUUGCUGUGAGUUCAACGCCAUCCUGGGCUACAAAGUGAGUUUUUUUUUUUUGCUUUUUUUUUCCGGUACUGGAAAUUGAACUCACGACCUUGUGCUUGCCAGGCAGGUGCUGUGCCGCUGGGCUAAAUCCCCAGGCCCCACAAAGUGAGUUUAAGACCAGCCUGAAUGGCAUAGUAAAACCUUGUCUUUUUUUUUUUUUUUUGUCUUUUUGAGACAGGGUCUCACUAUGCAGUUCAGGCUGG
Chinchilla lanigera (long-tailed chinchilla) is the source of this 3319-nucleotide long non-coding RNA. NCBI's taxonomy places the organism in Eukaryota, Metazoa, Chordata, Mammalia, Rodentia, Chinchillidae. The record is from Ensembl.